This 289-nucleotide ribosomal RNA is filed under the name Vibrio parahaemolyticus. RNAcentral describes it as "partial 16S ribosomal RNA". It matches the Rfam family "Bacterial small subunit ribosomal RNA", at positions 126 to 417 of the family's 1533-position model. The record is from RNAcentral. Lineage: Bacteria; Pseudomonadati; Pseudomonadota; Gammaproteobacteria; Vibrionales; Vibrionaceae.
UUGCCCUGAUGUGGGGGAUAACCAUUGGAAACGAUGGCUAAUACCGCAUGAUGCCUACGGGCCAAAGAGGGGGACCUUCGGGCCUCUCGCGUCAGGAUAUGCCUAGGUGGGAUUAGCUAGUUGGUGAGGUAAGGGCUCACCAAGGCGACGAUCCCUAGCUGGUCUGAGAGGAUGAUCAGCCACACUGGAACUGAGACACGGUCCAGACUCCUACGGGAGGCAGCAGUGGGGAAUAUUGCACAAUGGGCGCAAGCCUGAUGCAGCCAUGCCGCGUGUGUGAAGAAGGCCU